RNAcentral lists this small nuclear RNA (99 nucleotides) under Colobus angolensis palliatus. The record is from RNAcentral. Lineage: Eukaryota; Metazoa; Chordata; Mammalia; Primates; Cercopithecidae.
UUGUUUCAGCAGCACAUAUACUAAAAUGGAAGAAUACAAGGAAGAUUAGCAUGGCCUCUGCACAAGAAUGACAUGCAAAUUGAAGCGUUCCAUAUUUUA